GAUGAACGCUAGCUACAGGCUUAACACAUGCAAGUCGAGGGGUAGCAGGGUAGCAAUACCGCUGACGACCGGCGCACGGGUGAGUAACACGUAUCCAACCUUCCCAUAACUCUGGGAUAGCCUUUCGAAAGAAAGAUUAAUACCGGAUGGUACUUUUUCAAGGCAUCUUGAGAAAGUUAAAGAUUUAUUGGUUAUGGAUGGGGAUGCGUUCCAUUAGAUAGUUGGUGAGGUAACGGCUCACCAAGUCUUCGAUGGAUAGGGGUUCUGAGAGGAAGGUCCCCCACAUUGGUACUGAGACACGGACCAAACUCCUACGGGAGGCAGCAGUGAGGAAUAUUGGUCAAUGGGCGAGAGCCUGAACCAGCCAAGUAGCGUGAAGGAUGAAGGUCCUAUGGAUUGUAAACUUCUUUUAUAGUAGAAUAAAGUGACCCACGUGUGGGUUUUUGUAUGUAUACUAUGAAUAAGGAUCGGCUAACUCCGUG
RNAcentral lists this ribosomal RNA (482 nucleotides) under uncultured bacterium. Its description in RNAcentral is "bacterial SSU rRNA". It matches the Rfam family "Bacterial small subunit ribosomal RNA", at positions 28 to 507 of the family's 1533-position model. The record is from RNAcentral.